GUGGGGAAUAUUGGACAAUGGGCGAAAGCCUGAUCCAGCAAUGCCGCGUGAGUGAUGAAGGCCUUAGGGUUGUAAAGCUCUUUUACCAGGGAUGAUAAUGACAGUACCUGGAGAAUAAGCUCCGGCUAACUCCGUGCCAGCAGCCGCGGUAAUACGGAGGGAGCUAGCGCUGUUCGGAAUUACUGGGCGUAAAGCGCACGUAGGCGGUUACUCAAGUCAGAGGUGAAAGCCCGGGGCUCAACCCCGGAACUGCCUUUGAAACUAGGUAGCUAGAAUGUUGGAGAAGUCAGUGGAAUUCCGAGUGUAGAGGUGAAAUUCGUAGAUAUUCGGAAGAACACCAGUGGCGAAGGCGACUGACUGGACAAGUAUUGACGCUGAGGUGCGAAAGCGUGGGGAGCAAACAGGAUUAGAAACCCCGGUAGUCC
This 425-nucleotide ribosomal RNA is filed under the name uncultured bacterium. RNAcentral describes it as "partial 16S ribosomal RNA". It matches the Rfam family "Bacterial small subunit ribosomal RNA", at positions 354 to 796 of the family's 1533-position model. The record is from RNAcentral.